Nicotiana tabacum (common tobacco) is the source of this 445-nucleotide long non-coding RNA. RefSeq lists it as uncharacterized. The record is from RefSeq and is a predicted model, not a curated record. NCBI's taxonomy places the organism in Eukaryota, Viridiplantae, Streptophyta, Magnoliopsida, Solanales, Solanaceae.
UUAGAGUGGAGGGAUGUCUCUAAUUCAGAGGUAUUUAUUGCAAGUUAUGUAGCUUUGUGGAGUAGUCGUGCGUACUCACAUCUCUUUUUACUGGGCAAGCUAAGUUUGAGCCUAUAGCUUUUUGCAAGCUACAGCGAAGCACGAACAGGGAUCUAUGACAAACCAUGUUUAGAAAGAGGCAGGCAAGAAAGGAGCCUAACUACAACAUGGUGGCUGGGACCUUCUUCAACCCCAGAAUGUAAUGAGUCGACAUUGACGUUACACCCAACAAUGAACAUCCUGUUUUAUGUCAUAUCAAAACAAAUUUGAUCAAGAAUAGAAGUUACAGCCUAUGUUGUUGGGCCCGUGCUCGCACAGGUCAUCACCGCCUACUUAUAAAAAGAAUCUCUACAAUAUGCGUGUAUAUAACUAAAGGAUAAAUACCUUUUACAGUGUAAAUCAUGGG